This is a long non-coding RNA of Oncorhynchus keta (chum salmon), 213 nucleotides long. RefSeq lists it as uncharacterized. Lineage: Eukaryota; Metazoa; Chordata; Actinopteri; Salmoniformes; Salmonidae. The transcript has 3 exons. The record is from RefSeq and is a predicted model, not a curated record.
UAAAUGGCAUGCCAGAGACAGGUUAGUUUAUAAAUGGUAUGCCAGAGACAGGUUAGUUUAUAAAUGGCAUGCCAGAGACAGGUUAGUUUAUAAAUGGUAUGCCAGAGACAGGUUAGUUUAUAAAUGGUAUGCCAGAGACAGGUCAGUUUAUAAAUGGUAUGCCAGAGACAGGUUAGUUUAUAAAUGGUAUGCCAGAGACAGGUUAGUUUAUAA